RNAcentral lists this unclassified non-coding RNA (334 nucleotides) under soil metagenome. Its description in RNAcentral is "partial contains 5.8S ribosomal RNA, internal transcribed spacer 2, and large subunit ribosomal RNA". The stretch from base 1 to 120 matches the Rfam family "5.8S ribosomal RNA", at positions 35 to 154 of the family's 154-position model. The record is from RNAcentral.
GAUGAAGAACGCAGCGAAAUGCGAUAAGUAAUGUGAAUUGCAGAAUUCAGUGAAUCAUCGAAUCUUUGAACGCACAUUGCGCCCGCCAGUAUUCUGGCGGGCAUGCCUGUUCGAGCGUCAUUUCAACCAUCAAGCCCUGCUUGCGUUGGGGUCCUGCGGCUGCCCGCAGGCCCUGAAAACCAGUGGCGGGCUCGCUAGUCACACCGAGCGCAGUAAUACCUCUCGCUUUGGGCGUGCGGCGGGUUCUUGCCGUUAAACACCCCCUUUUUACCAAGGUUGACCUCGGAUCAGGUAGGAAUACCCGCUGAACUUAAGCAUAUCAAUAAGCGGAGGA